GGCGAACGCUGGCGGCGUGCUUAACCCAUGCAAGUCGAACGGAAAGGCCCUGCUUUUGUGGGGUGCUCGAGUGGCGAACGGGUGAGUAACACGUGAGUAACCUGCCCUUGACUUUGGGAUAACUUCAGGAAACUGGGGCUAAUACCGGAUAGGAGCUCCUGCUGCAUGGUGGGGGUUGGAAAGUUUCGGCGGUUGGGGAUGGACUCGCGGCUUAUCAGCUUGUUGGUGGGGUAGUGGCUUACCAAGGCUUUGACGGGUAGCCGGCCUGAGAGGGUGACCGGCCACAUUGGGACUGAGAGACGGCCCAGACUCCUACGGGAGGCAGCAGUGGGGAAUAUUGCACAAUGGGCGGAAGCCUGAUGCAGCAAAGCCGCGUGCGGGAUGACGGCCUUCGGGUUGUAAACCGCUUGCGCCUGUGACGAAGCGUGAGUGACGGUAAUGGGUAAAGAAGCACCGGCUAGUUACGUG
This 468-nucleotide ribosomal RNA is filed under the name uncultured bacterium. RNAcentral describes it as "partial 16S ribosomal RNA". It matches the Rfam family "Bacterial small subunit ribosomal RNA", at positions 28 to 507 of the family's 1533-position model. The record is from RNAcentral.